RNAcentral lists this ribosomal RNA (479 nucleotides) under uncultured bacterium. RNAcentral describes it as "bacterial SSU rRNA". It matches the Rfam family "Bacterial small subunit ribosomal RNA", at positions 36 to 518 of the family's 1533-position model. The record is from RNAcentral.
CUGGCGGCGUGCCUAACACAUGCAAGUCGAGCGGAGCCAUCUGAAGAGUCCUCGGGUGAUCAGGGAAGCUAGCGGCGGACGGGUGAGUAACACGUGAGUAACCUGCCCUUAUGAGGAGGAUAACACACCGAAAGGUGUGCUAAUACUGCAUAAUAUAUAUUUUUCGCAUGGAGAAUAUAUCAAAGAUUUAUCGCAUAAGGAUGGACUCGCGUCCGAUUAGGUAGUUGGUGAGGUAACGGCCCACCAAGCCGACGAUCGGUAGCCGGACUGAGAGGUUGAACGGCCACAUUGGGACUGAGACACGGCCCAGACUCCUACGGGAGGCAGCAGUGGGGGAUAUUGCGCAAUGGGGGAAACCCUGAACCGCAGCAACGCCGCGUGAAGGAUGAAGGUUUUCGGAUCGUAAACUUAUGUCAUCGGGGACGAGAAUGGACGGUACCCGAGGAGGAAGCCACGGCUAACUACGUGCCAGCCGCUGC